Molecule: non-coding RNA, 2461 nt
Organism: Pelobates cultripes (western spadefoot toad)
Lineage: Eukaryota; Metazoa; Chordata; Amphibia; Anura; Pelobatidae
Source: the annotation of a GenBank genome assembly
CUUAAUUAUUGCAUAAUAUAAUUAAACAUUAUACAAGGGCUUUUAUUAUCCUUGGAUAAGCAUUAGUUUCCCAUGAAAUAAAACGAAAACAUAGCCCUUAUCUAUUUAACGAGGCACUGGCCUAGAUUGGACAAUUCGAAGGAAACAUAAACAUGUACGUUUCAAUAAAGUAUUUAGUUAUUAAUUAUAUAGAAUACAUUUCUUAUAACACUUUAUCUUUGUUGAGGAUUGAAUUAUAGCGGACGCAUUUUUAUUCUACAAACUAAAACCCAACGCCCAAGUUAAAAAACAAACAAACAAAAAAAGAAACGUUUAAAAAACAAAACCAGGUAGAAACAGCAAAUAUUUGUUCUAGCAGUAUCCAGAUAUAAUAAAUAUAUCGACUGACAUUUUUAAAGUUCGGCUCUGGGAUCCUGCAAACUGACACAAACAUCUCAGAUAGGACCUUAACGUGUGAAUAGGAGAAUCAGGGAGGGCAGGGAACAUUAGAUGGAAUAUAAUCAUUAAAUCCAACGUUUAGCAUUUAAGACAGAAAUGUGUUUAUUCACAAAAAAAAGUAUGAAUUGCAAUGAAUUUAAAGUGAAUUCAUUUAUUCAGUGCUCUAGUUGCCAUUUGCACCACUUUCCAUUAAAAUUAUGUGUAGCUGGCAAAGUAGUUUACAGAGCACCAACAAGUGCUGCAGCGCUGUACGGGGGGGGUAAGGAAAAUCAAACCAGUUUAAACAAACAAAGGCGAAAAUGGAAAAUAAAAACGUGAACACGGCCCUGACGCUAAGUGGUCUGUUUAUUGAUCUUUUACAAGCUGAUUAAUUUGAGUUUUACAAUGUAUGAAUUCAGUUUCUGUAGGGAUUGUAACAGUGUUUGUGAUAUUAGAACCUCCCGGACACUUUCAAAGCUUCCGUCAGCCGAUAUUCCCUCUCUACGUAUCUCAGUACAGAAUCCACCUGUAAUCAUUGCUGAUUAUAGUACUUACCUGUUCUGUGCUGUGUAUUAAGAUCACUUUGUAUUCUUAACAUUAUAUUGUAUCCGAUUGUAACGAUGCAGUGUUAGUGGGCCCAGGACAUACUUGAAAAUGAGAGACGUCUCAAUGUAUCCUUCCAGGUAAAAUAUUUUUAUAAAUAGACUUGUCACACAAGCAGUGAAAUGGAACUGCACCAUUUAGCCAGCAGAGGGCGUUGUGGCACACUCCGUUUACAGUCAGGUGCGAGGAUUAUUACACCAGAUUAAGGUUUUCCUUGCAGCCAUUUAGCAUUGAGCCCGUGGAAAGCCAAGAAACAGACACAUUGUGUCGCAAUGAUCCCCAAACAAACAGCAGAGCUUGGAGGAAGGUGGAACGCCUUGAUUUUAUAUCUGUGUCAAUCGCUCGUACAGCAACAACAAAAUACAAGGACCUUGUGGGGAGUUGGGGAGAGACAAGGAGAGUUUAUUCUUCAUUAAAACACAAAUUAUUUAGAACAAACCAGGAAAUUGCCAAUAUUACAUUUUAAAUAAACCUUUGUCAAAACGAUCAUUGUGUCAGUUGGCCAAAAAUUUAAAUUUCUAGUUUAAGAUCAAAUUCAAAGGAAAUCUGUUUAUAAACUCCUCCCAUGUAUCACAGUGGUGUAAAUCUACAAUCUGACAGCGUCUCAAUAUGAUGGACACACGUGAGAGUAGGAUCCAUUAACAUGGUAAGAUACAAAAGUAACAUAACGUGCUGCUGUAUCACCUCGAUAUUCCUGUAUCUUACCAUAAAAUGCUCCUGUGACAAUAUCAUCUCAAUGUAGUGUGAUAUCACAAGGACGCAUAAUGGCAGGGUGCAGAUGAUGUAGUGUGAUGUCAUUAUGGCAGGAUACGGAUGAUGUAGUAUGAUGUCAUUAUGGCAGGAUACGGAUGUGGUGUGAUGUCAUACAGACGCAUUAUGGUAAUAUACAGAUUAAGUUUAGGGUAACUGGACAGGUAUGAACGAUAUGAUGUAACCAACCUCCCACCAUACAUUCCCACAUUACGGAUAGGCCCAUGCACACUCGCUAAAGGUCUGCAUUUGGAUAAGAGAAGUGGCUGCAGUGGGGGAGAGCCAAUCAUACGACAGGGAUUCCACAUCCUACAGAGCCCAGCGUGCCAAGUGAGUGUGUGAACAGGUACAGGUGAAAUCGAAACCUUUUGGAGACUGCCAGGAGGAAAACAAAGGGAAUUAACAGACAUUGUUUCUUCUCAAUAAACCAGACAUUCCGUUUCCUGGAGGGAAACUAGGCUCUCGGAGUUUAGAAGAUGAUACUAGGAACGCCUCAAAGUGGUUUAAUAGAAAUAUUUGCUGCAAUCAGAGGCAAUUCAGAAAACUCCAAAUGUUGCGUCCCAUUGGGAGAAAACCGCUUUAUAAAAAUCUAAUUAUUACUUUUAUAGUCCUGAAAGGGCUGGGAAGUGUUAACAGAGGCCCAGUUUUACACAAUUUGAAAAUGUCCUUUCUUGAACACCUCUCCCCCUCC